UUUAUACUUUUAUUUACAAUUUCCCACCUCCAAGAUGAUACACAAAGAUAGUGAUACACAUAACCUAUUUUGUUUUUUAUAUUGUGUCUUAAAAAUAUUAAAUUUAUAUUAACACAUUUUAGUAAUUAAUCCUUAAAUAUGGAUAUAAUAGAAAAUAAAUUGUAUUCAAAUAAUCCAAUUAAUAUAUCUAAUUUAAUAUCAAAAAUAAUUAAUAACGUGAAAAGAAAACAUGCCGAAGGUCUUAGAGAUUUUCCCGAAGUUAAGUUUUUAAAAGAAAAGAUGAUGAACGCUGAUCCUUUAAUUAGUGAAGUGUCGGGAAAAGCUAUCAUGAUGCUUAUUAGUGAUCGAAUAUUAUCUGCUGAUGUAAUUCACACAGAUUUUAUUAGUAGCAUGAAUUCAAUAAAGUGUCUUUCUACUUUAACCAAUAUAUUAGGAGAUUUAUUGUGCUUAUUACCAAAUGAUAAAAACUAUGUAUUCAAGUUGUAUUCUCCUCAACAUCCCUUUAUAACAUUAAUUAUGGAAAAACCAGAUGCAGCUUAUCAUAUUUUUGUCAAGAUACAAAAUUUACUGGAAGAUUUUGAUGGGUCUAUGAUUAACAAAGUAUUUGAACCAUUCUAUUUGUACUGCUUGUGUUGUCCAUCGAGAAAUAAUAUAGAAUUGUUGAGAUGCAGAUUAUGGGCAUUAUUAUUAAAUUCUAAAGAUGCUGGUACACGUUUGUUUGGUAAAAUAAUUUCUUGGUUACAAGUAGAAAAAAAAGAAGAAAUUCAAAUAAUAAAUAAUCACUUCAUAGAGGCGUUAAGAAAUCCAAACAUUGAGACAAUUUUAAAUAUAGAAGUAGUAAUAUUAUGGCACGCGAGUCUUCUUUAUAAUAUGGCACUGUAUAAAUUUGACAUGCAACCAGCUCUAUGCUGUUUACGACAAAUAUUCGAAAACAGAAAAUUGGUUAUGGUCGAUAGUAUACUUCUGAUAUUUUCUCAAAUAAUUGAUGUAUGUUCACCCAUACAUUUGAAAAAUAUACUUUUAACAUGUAAACCGAUGCUAGAUCAAGAAUACGCUUCUUUAUUCGCAUUAGAAACUCUCAAAGCUUCUUUGUUACCGUGGUUAACUUCUCCUUGUACAUUUCUUAAUGAAGCUCAUCAAUUGGCAAAAGAAAUAAUUACAUCAGUGAACAAAACGAAUAACGCAAACUAUAAAUUGAAUGUGAAUGAAAAAAUAAAAGAUUUUUCUUUCAGAUAUAAAAAUCUAAUUUGCACCAAUAAAAUGAUAUUCAUUACCGUUAAUUUAACAUUAAAUUUAGAAAGAUUUUCCGAGGAACAGGACCUCAAGGAAUGGUUGGAAGAAAUUAAACAAAUUCCCGAUGAAUAUACUGUGGAUAUUUUUAAUUUCCUUUGCGGUUUUAUGAUGAUCGAAUACCAAGAUCCAGAAAUAUCUCUAAUAAUUUUAGAGCUUCUACUUAAAUGCGCGGAAAAAGAAAUAAUUUUCUCUUCCAAAUUAUUAACAUUAAUUUUAUACAAGUUAUCGAACAAUCUACAUCCAAACUACCAUUUCGCUCUUUUGAAAUCCUUACCAAAACUAGUAAUUUUUCAAGAUAACAUUCCGAAAGUUAUGGCGUUAAUACGAACAGUUAGUAAAAGAUCGGAAAAUCUUUUUAAUGUUGGAAUUUCUUUGGCUUUCGAUGCAUGGAAAAUUAAUAACAAGUGUUACAUAUAUUUAGAAGAUCUCCUGGUACAUGAUACACCUGUUGAGAAAAAGUGGGAACGAUAUGUAACAAAAGCUUAUGUUUUAAAAGAACUCUGUGACAGAAAGCCUGAACUAUAUGGAAAAGAUGCUGUAGCUCAUUUAUCAAAAAUCUUGAAUGACUGCGAUAAUGAAAAUGGUGCUCUGCCUUGUUCUUUAGCUAUAGAAGCCAUAACAAUCUUAUGCAGAAAUGGAAUUAUCGAUAUACAAACUACUUGGAGUACAUUAGCACCUAAAUUUACGAAUGAUAGACGACUUCCAGUUGUCAAAAGUUUAUGUUCGUUAAUUAAAGAAGUUCCUCAGUUGCUGGAUUCGGAUUCAUAUAAAGAUUUAUUUGAAGCAGUGACAAAAAAAUUAUGGGAAUACGUAGAAUACGGAGAUACCCAAAUAAGCGAAGCUGCUCUUUCGAGUCUGGUAUCAUUUGGGAUUGAACACAUUAGUAAAACUUUACCCGAGAAGUAUCUCGAGCCCGAAAGUGUUUCCACUGCGCAGUCGGUCUUAGGUAAGACAUGGAUAUAUUUUUUAAUCGAAAAUAGGGCGUCAGAUGCAUCUGUACAAUUUAUAAAAAACAUGAUGUCCAUUGAAAUAGAUGGAUAUUUAAAGUAUGUUUAUCAACAGAAAGGACCUAAAGAACCAAUUAACUAUAACUAUUUACCUACUCAUAGUAUAGUUAAAGAAAUAGGAGUAUUUAUUAAAGCAUGGGUAAACAAAUGGAGGGGUAGUAUCCACAAUAAACUCUACAUUGAAUGUCUAAAAAUAUUCAGUGAAGUAUAUAGCAAACCGUUACCCCCAUUAGAUUGGUGUUUCCUACAAGAAUUGAUUCAUGAUCCGAAAACUAAAGAAUAUGCUGUAGAUAUCGCUUCACAUCAGGUAGUGAUGUCCGGUACUGCAAGAAGACUAAUCGACAAUUAUUUAAUAACUGUUACAGAAAAUCCAAAGGAAGAGGAUAUUUUAUUAAUUUUCAAAAAUUUAAAAUAUUUGGUUCGAAGUAUACAACCCAUGAUUUUGAGACCAUUUUUUGAAAUAUCAAUUUGGCAUGUGUUGAAACAAGAUACGGAUGAAUAUAAUUUGAUAGAUGGUAUGUUUGAUCAACUGAAGAUCGUUCUUCGCGAAGAAAACGUACAAGAAACUAAUAAAAUUACCAUAGUUCAAGUUUUGGAUGGUAUAAUUUUUACAACGGAUGUGAAUUCAAAAUUAUUCAAGAAACUGUGCGAAGUUAUGGCUGUUGCCCCUACAAAGUGUUUAAAGGAAGCCACCUGUGUUAAAAUAACCGAUAAUGCAGAGGAUUUUCCAAAAAGUGUUGAAAUGAGAUGUGCCCUAGCUAAAAAUGCCAAAAUGACACCACUCGAUUGGAUAAAUGAUUUAAUUGACGUUUGGAGUAUGAAUUACAGAGUGAAAAACUGAAAAUUCAACACUAAUUACUAACAAUUUUACUGUUGUGAGUUGCUUUGAAUAAGUAAUUACAUAUAUAUGUUAAUAAAACGAAGACCGGUCAAUGAUUCAGUGACUUUAUGUUUGAAUUUGAAUCAGCUGGGACAUUUAUUUUGUGGUUGACAGCAGAUUACUUCCUUCAUUAGAUUACUAUCAAGUUCGAUGGUAAAAAAGUGGUUUGUUGUGAUGCCGAACGUUCUGGUAGUCCAGUUAGUGUAACUAUACCCGAAACUUUUGAAAAAAAAGUCAUGAUAUGAUGGUGGACGAUGGGAAAUUGAAAAGAUACGUCUAUUUGGCCGGAUUUGGUAGAAGUUCUAAAAACGCACAUUAAAAACACCGAAGAAUCCGUACCUUGGUGUCUUGAUUUAAUCGGUCGAAUUCAAGCGAAAGUUGCCGAUAGAUCUGAAGUUUUAGUUAUCAGCUGUCUAUUUGACGUUUUAAUAUACGUUGUUGUACACUUCUCCGGUUUCUACACAUUCAUUAAUAAAAACCGAAACGAGUACAAACAAAUUA
Molecule: RNA transcript, 3681 nt
Organism: Diorhabda carinulata
Lineage: Eukaryota; Metazoa; Arthropoda; Insecta; Coleoptera; Chrysomelidae
Gene name: focadhesin
Exons: 13
Source: RefSeq, a predicted model, not a curated record